UGGUGGCGUGAAAUCUCAUCUGCGGCUGCCUGGGCGGGGGAGCUCCGGGAGCACGGGGACAAGGCAGUCACUGAUCUCUUCACUUCUGCAGGCCUGCUUUUAAGAGUUCUCCUACUGAGCCCUGGAGCUGCCUGUGUGCUGAGAUUUAGAAAGUAAAGAAAAAAAAUCAAAGCACCCAGGAGCCAUAAUGCAGUUUUGGGCUGCAGUUAAAAGCAGAAGACUUGCUUUCUUUUACAAAAAUGCAUUGGGGGUUUAACUCAAGGAAGAAAAGACCUGCCAUUGUCCUUGAGCCUUUUCUCUUCACCUAACCUGCUGCUAAAUAUAAAUCUGCUUCAGAGUCUUUUUGCCUUCUCUCCCUUCACUUUGACUUGUCUGUUUGCAGUUUCAGAUCAGUGAAGAGCCUAUUUGCAGACUGAAAUGCUGCAGUAGCUGGACACUCUCGUUUCUCUCUUUUUCUAAUACUCAGUUCUUUUGACAUCAGGUUUUUAUCAAUCCCAUAGCAGGUAUUAGUGAAUCCAGUUUAUCUUCUGAGGUGGGUAAAUGGCUCAGAGAAUAGGCAUGAUGUCCAGUUUUAUUGGUUCUGGAAAUGAAAAUGAUGCUGAUAACAGACUCUUGUGUAAACAGAAGUGCUCAACAGAUGUGCAGCGCCUAUCAGAGAUGGUUAAAACAUAACCAGCUGCCUUUUAUGCAUAAAAUCUUCUUUUCAAAACUGUUUUAAGAGGAGGGCCAGGGGGAGAUUUGUGGCUUUCUAUGAUACCCCCAGAGAUGCACAGAUAUCACUUGGGAGUGGAACGUUUCACUGCUCUGCCAUGACCUGGAAUGGUGGUUGUGCCAACAUUUGUUUCAGCACUUGUGUAAGACAAUUUAUCAGUGUUACAACUAAAAUACAAGGGACAACAGACUGAAACCUGGGCAGGUGUGGCCUUGAAAGGAUGUACACAACUUGUAUUUGAAGGAUCUGCAUAUGCUUUUGAGCCCUGACAAUAAAAUACAUUAAACUUGAGGUUAUUCCUAUUUAAAACACACUUAGGUGGUACAAUAUGAUUGUUGCAGUUGCCUGUCACGUCUGUAUUACGUGCAUGACACUCAUUUAGGUGGAUGUUUACUUUAUGGCUGAACAUUCUGGGUACAUGAAGGGAAUUUUUUUAUCCCAGAUUUGUAGCAGUCUCAUGGUGCUUCUCAAAACAGCUGGAUGUGUCUGCUGCUUUUUGAGCUGUUUGAACUUUUGUACAGCUGCAGGAUCUUUUGUCUUUGAUCAGCACCAUGAAUUAAAACUGAAGAAUACUCAGACUUGAGAUGAAUUUCUUAUAAUGGAGACUUGAACUGGUAGUUCAAGGAAAUAAUGUGCAAAACUCACAGCUUUUGAUUUUUCUACUUGAGUGACAAUUUGAAACCUACUGAAGAAGAAACUUCUUGUUCACAUCCUCAGAAAAAAAGAGGAAAAAAACUUAACAGAAAUCCAUAAUUUUUCCUUGAUGCUCUUUAAAAUGCUGUGUGUUUCCAUCUCGUAGAUACUUUUUCCAUCUAGUAAGAAGAUAGUGCAGGUAACUUGACUUGAAUCUCUAUUUUGCCACUGAGCAAAUUGCUCUUGCAAUGAGAACUCACACUGGGCACUUCUGCAGGCUGUGGAAACUGUGCUGAUUCCUGUCUUUUGGGGUGUACAGGGCUGUUCCUAAUAUUGCACAUAAGUCCCUUGAAAGUGACUUGGAACACACUGUUAACCAAGUGGAAAUGUUGAGUUGUCUUACAGGCAAAAAGCCAUGAUGAGAAAUCCUUGCAGUGUGGAUUUUGUGUGGGACAUUGCAUGUUCUGGUGUCCUGACUUGACAUUUUGAUGGAGCUUCUGUAUUUCAGGAGAUUCAGGAGGAAUGUCACGUCCACUCAGACCAAAAACGUGCUCUGUGGAAGCUGUGUCAGCUCAAGACAUUCUCAGACCUUUUUCUACCUCCAACACUUGAAUGUUGAUUUUUUUCAUUGUGUUGCCACAGCUUUUUCCACAGAUCAGAUUGAAGGGAUGGCAUAUUGUGGGGAACAUAGAAAUUUCCCAAGUUAUUUUAUUUUGCUCUCAGCAGCAGGACUGAGUAGUGUUCUGGACUAUGCAAUAUUCAUAGAAAAGCUCAUCUUGAUUUUGGCUUGAAACUGAUGUUUCGGCAUCCCAUAAACACAAAAACUUUUACAUGGAAAAUUAGGUAAGACUUAACAGCUAUUAAAUUAGAUUCCAACAUUGUAAAAGAAAAAAAUCUAAUUUUUUCAGUCUCCUCUUGUCUGUAAAGUGGCCUCCCUGUGCAAGGGAGGGAUGGGACAAAGCUCCACAUUCACAAGCAAAUUAUUUGUUAGGGGGUUGAACCAGAAGUGAUACAAUAUCUUUUGGGAACUAUUUUCCAAGCUCAUCUUGCUCUGCUGUCGUUAAUACCCCCAGCAGAUCCAUUCUCCUGAGUAUAUGAAAUAUUAGCUUGGGAUCAGCUGCUCUCUGAUUAGCAUAUGAAGUGACUCUGUGGCUAAAGAUGGGUGUAUUAACAAUAGGCAGAAUGAGACUCCCAAUGCACAUGGGUAAUUAGCAGGAGCCACCCGGGAUUCCCAUUUGCAGGGUUGCAAAAAGGCAGAGGGGAGACAAACCUUUCCAGGAGACUGAGCAAAUCCUCUUCACCAGGAGUGAUGGGAUGGAAAGGUGGCAAAACCAAAACUGCCUGGGAUUAGGAGGUGGGUUUUGCAGCUGCAGUGCUGAGCAGCCUGAUGGGCCAAAGAGCAUCAGUGGAAUGAAUAUUGCAGAACUCCCGUGUGAAGGUGGCAAGGGAAGAGGAACAGUGACCUGGAAAAUAUUUCUGUUCACUAGACAAGCCAGCAGAAGCAUUUUUGCUUCUCUGACUUGGAAGUGUUGAAGGCUGCAUUAGUACUUGGAUGUUUUUUGUGAAUGUAACAGCACUCAGGUGUGCUUUUUCUCCUUGGAUGGCACUUAAGGUAGCUCAAGUGGAAAAGUGGAAUGAAAAAUAUGGUUUGGUACAGCACCACAUUUUUAGCUAGGGCUUUAAAUUUAAAUUACUGAUUUGUAAGCAGUAGUACUUUGAUAUUUGAAGUUAUGACUGCACAAAGUGCAUCCUGAAUGGAAAUCUCUGAUUCUUAAAUUCCUUUAGAUUGCUGUGUGAUGAAGGAAAGAAAACCACCUUUAAGACUACUCAGGUGGCUCUUGGGGAUUGGAGGAAAAGGAAGAUAUCCUGUGUGUGUUUGCACAGUGGGAAAUUCCUUAGAAGACAAGGUUGUUGAUCCAAGGCUUGGAUCAUAUUCCAGACUUUUAAAUGAAACCUGAUUUUCCUGCUCUGGACUUUUUAGAAGUGGAUCUAUGGUUGUUACUAAUCCAGACACAUUAUUUUUAGUUUACAGACAGUGUUUUGAUUUGAUUUUCCUAAACUGUGCUCUGCACUUCUUCAGGUGAAACUUCACCACUUAAAUCCAGUUAAAUAAAAAGCACCCAAAAAAUCCCUUCUUUUUCUUUCCCCUCAUAGAUGCUGAUUUCAAGUGUAAAAUGUUUGCUGACUCAAUUAUUUGUUGGACCUCUUUCUCUACUGGUAGUUAAUUUUUUUCCUGUGCUGUGUUUUCUUCACUAAGUCAUUAUGUAAACUUCAGUAUGCAGUCAAAACAGCAGCCUUUCAAUAAAAAAUGCAGUCGGUAUCAGUGACUUUGUCAUCUGUUUGAAUGGGUUUUUAUCAGAAUCUGGAAAACCCAACAGCAGCACUUAGCCAGAAUCUCAUUAUGGCCCUCUGAACCAGCUACCUUAUUUAGAUGAGGUAUUAGUUGUUACAGAUAGGGAAGCUGAGAAUUAGCCCAUGGAGCUGCAGUGGUUAUAGAAGAGUGCCUGUUGUCUUUCCAUGGGCAGAGCUGUGUCCUUAGCAUGAGAAUCUUCAUUUUCUUAUGUUUAAAAAAUCAUAGAAUCACAGAAUGGGUUGGGUUGGAAGGGACCUUAAAGUUCAUCCAGUUCCCUGUCCUGCUGUGGGCAGGGACACCUUCCACUAUCCCAGGUUGCUCCAAGCCACGUCCAGCCUGGCCUUGGACGUUUGGAGGGAUGGGACACCUACAGAUCUCUUUAGCCAACAAUUUGGAAUAAGCCUUGAUUCACCCACUGUAUUUUCACCUGAUUAACUCGGUGUCAGCACAGCAAGCGUGGCGUUUUCAACAAGGCCAAUCAUCCCCAUCUCAGUUUUGUUCUUUUGUGGAUUGCUUUUGGAUUAUAUUUACUCUGACCUUCCAUUCUGCUCUUUCCUGUCUGCUUCUAGAGUUGGCUUUAUGUGGCCAGAAGGUAGAUGCAGAAUAUACUGCAAGCAGGAAUAUGCAUAAACAGCAUGUGGCAUGGUUUGUGUGUUGUGGAUUGUUGGACGAGCUCUGUGCCAGUUCAUCAACAAUAAUUUGUGCAUAUUAAUAUAUUUGGAUGCAUUUAAUUUCAUUGGCACUUAGCCUGCUCCUUAAGUUAUUAAUUUGUGAAAUCUGUUUGGAGGAAGGGUAAGAACUUGUAGGCAGCAUAUGGUGUGAUAUUGGGGGGAAAGGACGGCUGCGGGUGUGAAUUUUAUUUUGUCAGUUUGGUGGGAGUACCUCUUGUUCUUUAUGGGUGCCAUCUGCACAAGGCUCUCUCUGCAAGGCUUGUGCUUGCUGAGCUUUUAACUUUGGCUGCUUUGGGGGAGGGCAAAGAGAAUAUUUUAUUCUGUGCCACCUUUUGAAGUGUUUUGUUUUGUGUAAAGGCUUUUCUUUUGCCAGGGGAAAACACCUUGAAGGGUCUACAGUUUAACUGGCUGUUAAAGGCCGGUGUCAUACAGCUCUGGAUCCAUCAUUCAGGCAUUUUCACAAACAUAUUUCUUUGCCUGCUACUGUUACUUUUUUGAUGCUGAAUGUCUUCUGUCUAUUUUUCCUGACCUUCCAGCAAUUACGAGAAUAAUCAUUAUUUUCAUGCUCUGGUUCUUAGGACUUCAAUUUCUUGAACUUUAUAAGGUCUGUGAGACAGGGCAGCUCCUUGUUGCUUUGACAGCUUUUCCAUAGCUUUAUUCAACUUCUUUAAAUUUGUUCAGCUUUGUAUAUCUGAGUAUACAACAAGCACCACAGUUGAGAGGUCUCUGGCUUCAGCAGUAAAUGAAGGCAUUUUGUUCAGUUCAUAUACUUAAAUGUGACAUUUCAUGUUGUUCUUUCUGCUUUUCCAGGAAUAGGUGCCUUUUUGUUUCUGAAGCUUUUGUUGUGACAUGCUUCCACAUCUCCAGUGGAAUGAAUGCCAGGGGGUUGGAAUUUUGAGAUCUCUUAAGCUCCCUUCCAACCCAAACCAUUCUAGGAUUCUCUGAUUCUGUCUUUCUCCUCCAGCCAAUUGAUCUUCAUAUUUUACAGAGAUCAUAUAAUGCUUUGAUAUUUAAUAAUAGAUUUGAUUAUGUGGUUAUUUCCAGUGACACGUUUCCUUCUCCUCUGCAUACAUACCCCAGUGCUUGCUCAAUGCUCAGAGAUCCUGACAGAGAUUGGAUCAGGUUGAAGCACAACAGGCAAAAUUUGUUCAGUGAGUCUUGAUAUGCCAGGACAGGAAUUCAGAGAAGUUUGGUUCAAGUUCUACUGCAGAACUUAAUGUCUUUUUCAGCUUUCUUCAUUUCAGCUGAGAGAAUCAGAGAGAUAGUUGCUGUGGAUGAUUACAUGCUGUGUAGGUUUCUGGGUUUGAGAACAUGCUGCAUUGGUUUCUUCCUGACACCUGAGAGAGAAAAACAAUUUCACAAUGCAGAUGGUCAAUAAAAAUGCUGAAAUACAAAAUUACAGAUAUAAAAACUGGCAUUUUCCAGGAUCUUGAAAGGGAAAAAAAAAGGCCUUUAUUGAGAGGGUCCUCAUCUUGUGAGAUGACUUUUCCUAAAGGUUCCAGACUACUCUCGCACAAUGCAGAGAUUGUUUCCUUUAACACCCCUUUUCCUUUCCCCUACAUUUAUUUUAAACUUAAGCUUGCUGUGGGAUAGAUAGAAAAAAAAUAAAAACAGUGGUAACCCAGUAUCUUGGACAAGUUGUCUCCUUCCUCAUUUUUUUAGCUUUUGUAAAGCUGUUGCUGUUUGCAGCAUUACAUUCAUUCUGAUUCAGAAGCUCUAGCAUUAGGGGAGCUUAUUUGAAGCUCUUAUUGUAUGUGUAUCUUCCAUGUUAAUGUUGCUGCAGUUCGUAGUUUGUUUACAAAGAUGAGACCUUGGAGCACUUCAGAACACAAGAGGCAUUUCAGAGAAUAUUGCAGAAUAUCAUCACUGAGCAGAUUUAAGAACAAUUCAGAAAAACAUUUGUCAGGAAUAACACAGGUACUGUUAAUUCUGCAUUGAGGUAUAGGGACAGAUCAGGUGACAUCUCAAGAACUUGUACAGCUGUUUCCUGUGAUUUCAGUGGAAGAUUCAAUGCACUUUUCAGUGGCUUGGUCAAAACCCCUCACUUUAUUUUGUUUUGGAAACACGUUUCCUAAUUUAAAUUCAGAGGGAAGAGAUACUUGCAGUCCCUUGUCUUGCUUGAAACAGCUUCUCUAUUUACACAGGCCAUAUGAAAAAUUAACCUUAAGGGGUUUGUUUGUUUGUAUUGCCAGAUAUUUUAGGAUUGCUGACUCAUUUUACCAAGCUGAGGGUGUGCACACAGGAGCCAAUUGCCACCAAAUCAGAAGGAGGAGAACUUAAAGGACAUCAAGUGCUCCUGUCCUGUCUGUGUGCUUGGUCUGAAUCUGGGCAUGCAGCCACUGCAAAGUAGUGACAGGCUGUAACCUCACAGCCCACACCAUCCAAGGUGAUCACUUGCCUUGUGUGAAGUGCUCUUAGCCUGGAGAAACAGGAAUAAAACCAAUCCUAACUGAGCAGUAGCCCUCUGAGAAUCAGGAACACGGUGCUUGCGCACUGCUGAACACACAGAGCAACCUCAGGAAAUGAAAUCUCAGCGAGUGUGCCCUGAGGCAGGGAAUGGGAACUCCUCUGGGCAGUGGAAAAGGCUCCUGUUUUGGCAUCACCAGUUUGGGAACUGGCACAAAGAUAUACAUGUUGGAAGUAGAGUAUAGAGAGUACUUUGUGUGUCUGGCACACUGUGCACACUCAGGAGUCAUUUCUGGCUCGGAGGUUUCAUCUGUGCAGUAAUGAUAUAAAAUGAUACACUUGGUGUUGGCUCAUACUCUUGGUAACUUGUUUGAUGUGUUUGCUCCAACCAUGUCACUUGCCCUUAGGUUCUUCCAACAAUAUGUGUCCAAGUAGGAUGUGUGGAAAGGCCAAGCUGUUGCUCUGGGGAAGAAUCUGUAGUCAAGCCAUCUUUGGUAGUCAUUGCUUAGAGAUGUCAUUUUCCUCCUAAAUCUGGCAAAGGACAACCUUUCUUGAAUCUCAUCUCCAUUCGUUGCUUGUUAUUUCUGUGUCAUUGCAAGAAAUUCCUUGUUUAAAUAAGUUACAAACACGUAUCUCCUAUGCUGAACCCUGGGUCCAGUGUUGUGCCAAUGUUAUGGAGUUGAUUUUAAUUGAAGUUGCAGCACAAUACAGGGACUCCAUUGAGCUCCUCCAGAAUUGAUUUUUAACUUUCUUGUUAGGUGCAAACUUAAGUUUUCCUUGACACACAGUAGCAUGUGUGACACAAAGGUAAUGAAUACUAGACCCCCUGGAUCUCAUUGCAUUAUCCUGUGACUCUUCUUUUGCAUUACUAAAUGGAGAGAGUGAUGCAUUGAGCCACAAAUGCAAGAGCCCAUGCACAGAAUACCUAUGCAGUCUAAAAAUAACAUUGAGGAGAGUUAGCAGCCCUCAUUCCAGCAGCAGUUGUUACCUGUUCUCCAACCUUGUCUGAGUGGCAGGAGGGCAGGUAAUUUUGGUUUCCAGAGCCAUGAGGUUGAGUAGGGAUCCAGGGAUGAGGGCUGCUCACUGCUCAGCCUGUACCUUUUAGCCACCUGCCUGCUUUGGGAGUUUGUUACAGGAGAGGGGGUCAGGGGUGGCUGCUUUUGGGAGGUGCUGACAGUUCCUGCAUCCCUCUCUUGUUCUAACACUGUCUGUGUGUCCUGGCCUGCUGAGAGCUGGGUGAUGCUGUUCAGAGACUCCUUGCUGUGUGCAGGGGGUGAGUGCAGUUCCUCCUUUCCAUGACCACUUCUGCAGUUGGCAUCAGGUGGGCUGAGCUGUCUGUGAAAUGCCCUCACCUUCCCCUUCCUGCCAGAGCUGGUCUGUGUGCUUGGUACCAACUGUAAUACCAGUCUGAAUGGCUGAGCAGUCUCAGGGUGAGACACAGGGAAGGAUAACAAACACCUCUCCUGAGUUAGGUGCACUGGGCUGACAGCUGCCUUUGGAACCACUCCAACUCAGAGUCCCAGUCUCCCUCAUUGCAGUGUUUUCUAACUGAGACAAUUAUUUUUAAUAUCUAAUUAAAUUUUACUUCUUCUGAGCUCAGUCUUUUUUUAUUAUAGCUUUGGUAGGUCACAAGAGUUAAUUACAGUCCUCAUUGUAGUGGCCUGUAACAUUCUUGAAAAUUGUCAGCCUGGCUGUUCCUCCACCAACACUAUCUGGUUUUAAUUAAUUAACUCAACCAGUGGAUUUUUCAGUUGUUUCUCCAGUCUCAAAUAUUACUUCCGUACAAAUUUUUACUCAUGUUCUUGACUUUGCAUAAUUUCUUUUUAAAAUGGGUGCUCAAUUCCAGAUAUCAUGCAGCUGAGGUUUACCUGUCACCAGAGCAGAAUGACUUCCAGGCCUUCUCCUAUUCCUGUUAAGUUCCAAAAUGCUGUUUGUAGAAGAACUACAGCUCAAGAUUAAGUUGUUGAGGCUGAGUUACUGAAGCCAUUGCUCCUUAUUUUGUGUUUGUCUGCUUAAUUUUUCCUUGUUUUCUACUUCACAAUCGUUUUUAUUGAAUUUAAUUGAUUUCAGAUAGUUUCUCUCCUUUAACAAGUUGCUCUUGAGUUAUUGUUUUUGUCUUCCAAUUACAUUUGCACUGUCCUGAUGUGGUUUGUCCCUUCUCUAAGUGUGUAUUAUGUGAUGUCACUGAAGCUAUUGAAUAAGAAUAGUGAAUGCAAUCAAUUCCCUGUCAGCUAAGAGGGGUGGGGGCAAACUGAAUGCUGGAAAAACAUUUUUGGUGUCUCAGUAAGGGCUGUUGUUUCCAUGUGGUGUGGGUGAGCUAGGUCCUCUUCAUAGAUGUACUAGAAAAUGCAUUGAUCUCUGCUGCUGAACUGCUGCAAAUCUCACUGUGUAUCUCUCCUGGCAAUAUAAUGUAGGUGUGUUGUUGCCAUUUGGCAACUUUUCAGGGGUUUAUGGAUAUUUUAAUGGAGGAAAAAGAAUAAAAAAAAUUCACUUUUGAAUGGCAAUUCUAACACGACAUAAAGAAUAAAUCUGGAAAGUCUCCUAGGAAUGCUGAGGUCACUCCAGAACUGCCCAGUUGCACACAAAUAUGCCAGAAAUUGUCCAAAAAAAGACUUGAAGUUGCCCUGUGAGCCUGACUAAAGUAUUUGAACAUGCUUUUAAGCGUUGGAUUUAAAUCAAAACACAUAAGGUAAGAUUUUUCUUACAGACUAGGAGAUGUGAACGGCUGUGGUGUUUUGUUUAUUUUGAACCACUUAAAAUCUGGAAGGUGGGAAAUUACCUCUCUUUUAAAAAACAAAACCACCCUUGGUCAGGAACGAGUACCUUAAGAAAAGUAAGUACAUGCCAAGCACCUGGUUGAGGUGCCAGCCUGCAUUCAGUGCUGGGACACAUUCCCCUUUUGGGUCUGGGCUGUCAGCUGCUCAGGUAGAGUGUGAAUUGUGUCUGGAUCACUCCUUUAAAAGGACUGCCUAAGCCGGUUUUGCCUCGGGGUAGAGCUGUGUUAACAGUGCAACAGGUCAGUAAUGAGGAUGAAUUCCUCCAACUCUGUACAGCGGUGACACACCAAGACUGAGAACUUUGGGGUUUGAUGAUUCAGCCUUAUAAACAGUCCUUGUCUUCUGGUGCUGCUGAUACAUCCAAGGAGGAAUAAUGACUAUAUUGUUUUCUCUCUACAGUCAAUGGUUUGGGAAUACAUGUGCCACUCAUGGCAUAUCCUUCUUCUCCCCAGUGUAGCAGCUCCUGUAGUUGGACUCCAGAGUUCUCAACCAGAUACAAACUCAUGGACAGUUUCCUUUUGCACACAUAAGCAAAUUUUUUGCUAUUGAGCAAUCUGUUACUUCAAUAGCAAUAGAAAAAAUGCAGUGAUCCAGAAACUUUUAGCUGGAAAUGAGAAAGUUAAAGAUGGGGUUUCAUUUAAAAUUCAAAUACUUCUUUUUCCUAUAAUGACUUUUUUUUUUUUCAUUCCAGAAGGCCUUUUCUGAUUUAUUUGCCUUUCUGCUGUGUAGGGGUGGCUAAACUUGUAGAUUUUGAUGCAGUGCACAAUGAAGUGUAUCUAAAAUAGUCCUAUAAUUUUUUUUCUCUCUGUUUACAGGAGUUAUUUUUCAUAGUCUUAUGCUGCCUGCUUCCGGACUCAGUGUCUUCUGUAUUAUCAGGGCUUUUAGAUGAAGGGGCUGGUUUUUAUUUCAUUCCUGUCAGUGACAAAUGAAAAUACUUACUUAUAGUUAAAACAGGAAAAAUAAAUCCAGAUUUCUAUAAUAAUAUUAUCUAAAUACAAUGUCCUCUGUCAUCCUCUCAGCCUCCCAAAACUGCAGCAUUCAACAUGGCUUGUGAAUCUUGAUAUGCACACACAUAUAUAUGAUACUCAAAAAAUAGUUUUAGAUAAUGGAGUGAUACAGUGAAAUAUUCAUGUAUAGAAUAUAACAUAUCUGGAAAAAAUUGAAAAAAUGUAUUGCAGAUCUCGUUUUCUAAAUUAAGAUGUAUUGCUCUAGAACUCUAUUCUGACUUGUGAUUUCAAAGGCUUAGCUUAAAAGUUGGGUAGAGCAGAAGAGUGAGUGAAGCUCUCCAGGUUGUGCCUGUUGGUGAUGGAAUAGCUCGGGGUGAGAGGGGAUGGGUGGUGCUGGUGAAACAGCUCAGGGAAGGUGGUUUGUAUCCAGAGGGAUUUACAGUGAUUCAAACUGAGCAGUGACCGACCUGGCAGCCCUGAAUAGCUGGAGAAAGGGACUCAA
Molecule: long non-coding RNA, 11001 nt
Organism: Haemorhous mexicanus (house finch)
Lineage: Eukaryota; Metazoa; Chordata; Aves; Passeriformes; Fringillidae
Exons: 2
Source: RefSeq, a predicted model, not a curated record